AGCAGCCGCGGUAAUUCCAGCUCCAAUAGCGUAUAUUAAAGUUGUUGCAGUUAAAAAGCUCGUAGUUGAAUUUCGGGAUCAAUUGAUUGGUCAUGCCUACGGUAUGUACUAGUCAUAUUGGUUCUCACCUUCUAAUGAACCUUAAUGUCAUUCACUUGAUGUUUUGGGGAAUUAGGACUGUUACCUUGAAAAAAUUAGAGUGUUUAAAGCAGGCUUACGCUUGAAUACAUUAGCAUGGAAUAAUGAAAUAGGACAUCGCAUUCUAUUUUGUUGGUUUCUAGGAUCGAUGUAAUGAUUAAUAGGGAUAGUUGGGGGCAUUAGUAUUCAAUUGUCAGAGGUGAAAUUCUUGGAUUUAUUGAAGACUAACUACUGCGAAAGCAUUUGCCAAGGAUGUUUUCAUUAAUCAAGAACGAAAGUUAGGGGAUCGAAGACGAUCAGAUACCGUCGUAGUCUUGACCAUAAACUAUGCCGACUAGGGAUCGGAUGAUGUUAAUUUUAAAUGACU
This 505-nucleotide small RNA is filed under the name uncultured Entrophospora. Its description in RNAcentral is "SSU rRNA". It matches the Rfam family "Eukaryotic small subunit ribosomal RNA", at positions 569 to 1076 of the family's 1831-position model. The record is from RNAcentral. Lineage: Eukaryota; Fungi; Glomeromycota; Glomeromycetes; Entrophosporales; Entrophosporaceae.